RNAcentral lists this ribosomal RNA (253 nucleotides) under uncultured bacterium. Its description in RNAcentral is "partial 16S ribosomal RNA". It matches the Rfam family "Bacterial small subunit ribosomal RNA", at positions 524 to 776 of the family's 1533-position model. The record is from RNAcentral.
UACGGGGGGGGCAAGCGUUACUCGGAAUUAUUGGGCGUAAAGGGCGCGUAGGCGGUCGUGUGCGUCGGAGGUGAAAUCCCCAGGCUUAACCUGGGAACUGCCUCCGAUACGGCAUGGCUUGAGUCCGGGAGAGGGGAGCAGAAUUCCCAGUGUAGCGGUGAAAUGCGUAGAUAUUGGGAGGAAUACCAGUGGCGAAGGCGGCUCCCUGGACCGGUACUGACGCUGAGGCGCGAAAGCGUGGGUAGCAAACGGG